AGGAAAAAUAAGACAAGCCGACCCAGCAGUUCAGCCAGCCGUCGCACGCACAGGGUGAGAGAGUGAGACGCCGCCGGUUGCUUCGCACGGCUGCGUCGCCGCCGCCGCCGCCGCCGGCGACCAGGAGGCAGGACGCCCUACCACAUAGCUACCGGCUACUGCGAGCCGGCUGUUUGAUGAAAUGUCAGAGCUAGCUUCAAUCCCCUGCAGUUCCAAGAGGGCGCGAGGCACUAGUGAUGGUGUCGACAGGCUCAGCAGCCUUCCAGACGAGCUGCUACAUUGCGUGAUGUCCUUCCUGCCGAUGCCGGAGGCCGGGCGCACAAGUCUGCUCUCGCCGAGGUGGCUUAAUCUCUGGGCCUCUACGCCAUACAUCCGCAUCGACCACCAGGACUUUAUGGAUGACGGCAAGCUGAAGAAAUUCGGGGACCGCCUGCUGCUCAUGCGCGACAGAACUACUUCCUUGGAUAAAGCCUGGAUCUCUGUGCACCAUGUUGCUGAUAGGACCAUGUGUUAUGAGUGGAUUCGUCAUGCCAUCAUGCACAAUGUCUCGUUCGAGAGGAGUUUGAGGACAUGCCCGAUGUUCAGCAACCUGACAAGCCUGGUGCUGGGCGAGUGGUGCAUGGCUGCUGACUUCUACCCGCUGCUUCGCAUCCUCCAGCGCUCGUGCAAGCUGAAGGAGCUAAAACUUAAGCUCACAAAGGAGGAAUUUAGUACGUGCAAGGAUUCUGAACCUGCUCUGUCGUCAACAAGGGGAGCACUGCCGUCGGGCUCAGGCAGCCACCCUUGCAUCGAGAGGGUCAAAAUCUGCUGCCAUGAACAUGAUCCAAGGGUUAGCUCGUUGGUGCAGGCGUUGCAGCUGAUUGUCGGUGAUGUGAAAAUCAGCAUCGAGCAUCGCUGAUCUAUGGUAAACUAGACCUUGUUUUGUUUGGGGGACCUGCAACCGUUGGUCAGUGCCGAAUUAAUGUGUGGAGACAAGAUUGCUUUGGAGACGCUGGCGUUAACGACACAAGGGCAUGUUUUAGACAAUGGGUGUGGAUGUGUGGUCGAAUUUUGCUAUAAUCCACAUGUGAUGGUUAAUCUGACUAGUGUCAUUUGCAUGAUGGAUUAUGAGCUAGUUCUUUGAAAACGCUAUGUAAUGUGAGUUCUGAAAUCAUGUUUUAGAUGAUGGGUAUGAUCAAAUUUCGCUAUCCACAUGUGAUGAUUGAUCCGAGCUAGUUCAUCGUCAUAGACUAGUUGAGUGUCAUUUGUGG
RNAcentral lists this ribosomal RNA (1250 nucleotides) under Triticum aestivum (bread wheat). RNAcentral describes it as "partial small subunit ribosomal RNA". Lineage: Eukaryota; Viridiplantae; Streptophyta; Magnoliopsida; Poales; Poaceae. The record is from RNAcentral.